Molecule: ribosomal RNA, 504 nt
Filed under: uncultured bacterium
Lineage: Bacteria
Description: partial 16S ribosomal RNA
Rfam family: Bacterial small subunit ribosomal RNA
Source: RNAcentral
ACGAACGCUGGCGGCGUGCCUAAUACAUGCAAGUAGAACGCACAGUUUAUACCGUAGCUUGCUACACCAUAGACUGUGAGUUGCGAACGGGUGAGUAACGCGUAGGUAACCUGCCUGGUAGCGGGGGAUAACUAUUGGAAACGAUAGCUAAUACCGCAUAAUAUUAAUUAUUGCAUGAUAAUUAAUUGAAAGGUGCAAUUGCACCACUACCAGAUGGACCUGCGUUGUAUUAGCUAGUAGGUGAGGUAACGGCUCACCUAGGCGACGAUACAUAGCCGACCUGGGAGGGUGAUCGGCCACACUGGGACUGAGACACGGCCCAGACUCCUACGGGAGGCAGCAGUAGGGAAUUUUCGGCAAUGGACGAAAGUCUGACCGAGCAACGCCGCGUGAGUGAAGAAGGUUUUCGGAUCGUAAAGCUCUGUUGUAAGAGAAGAACGGGUGUGAGAGUGGAAAGUUCACACUGUGACGGUAUCUUACCAGAAAGGGACGGCUAACUACGUG